RNAcentral lists this ribosomal RNA (439 nucleotides) under uncultured bacterium. RNAcentral describes it as "partial 16S ribosomal RNA". It matches the Rfam family "Bacterial small subunit ribosomal RNA", at positions 338 to 795 of the family's 1533-position model. The record is from RNAcentral.
CCUACGGGAGGCUGCAGUGGGGAAUAUUGCACAAUGGGGGAAACCCUGAUGCAGCGACGCCGCGUGAGUGAAGAAGUAAUUCGUUAUGUAAAGCUCUAUCAGCAGGGAAGAAAAUGACGGUACCUGAGUAAGAAGCCCCGGCUAACUACGUGCCAGCAGCCGCGGUAAUACGGAGGAUGCGAGCGUUAUCCGGAUUUAUGGGGUUUAAAGGGUGCGCAGUGGGCCUGUUAAGUAGGCGGGAAAAGCCCGGGGCCCAACCCCGGCGAGCCGUUGAAACUGGCGGGCUGGAGUUGGAGAGAAGUAGGCGGAAUGCGCGGUGUAGCGGUGAAAUGCUUAGAUAUCGCGCAGAACCCCGAUUGCGAAGGCAGCGUACCGGCUCCACACUGACGCUGAGGCACGAAAGCGUGGGUAUCGAACAGGAUUAGAUACCCGUGUAGUC